Molecule: ribosomal RNA, 545 nt
Filed under: uncultured bacterium
Lineage: Bacteria
Description: bacterial SSU rRNA
Rfam family: Bacterial small subunit ribosomal RNA
Source: RNAcentral
AACACGUAUGCAACCUGCCCCCGUCCGGGGGACAACCUUCCGAAAGGGAGGCUAAUCCCGCGUAUAUCCCCGAGGGGCAUCCCUGGGGGAGGAAAGCUCCGGCGGACGGGGAUGGGCAUGCGGCGCAUUAGCUAGACGGCGGGGUGACGGCCCACCGUGGCGACGAUGCGUAGGGGUUCUGAGAGGAAGGUCCCCCACACUGGUACUGAGACACGGACCAGACUCCUACGGGAGGCAGCAGUGAGGAAUAUUGGUCAAUGGCCGGAAGGCUGAACCAGCCAAGCCGCGUGAGGGAAGACGGCCCUACGGGUUGUAAACCUCUUUAGCCGGGGAACAAGGCGCGGGACGAGUCCCGCUGUGAGCGUACCCGGAGAAUAAGCAUCGGCUAACUCCGUGCCAGCAGCCGCGGUAAUACGGAGGAUGCGAGCGUUAUCCGGAUUUAUUGGGUUUAAAGGGUGCGUAGGCGGUUGCUUAAGUCAGCGGUCAAAUGGCGGGGCUCAACCCCGUCCAACCGUUGAAACUGGGUGGCUUGAGACGGCGAGAAG